UUUGAAGUGAACAGAGUGUGUUAAAAAAUAAUCUUCCAGCCAAGAGUUUCCAGCUGUUACUCUUGAGCUGUCAGGUUUAUCAAAGUAACGUGGGGGCCCUCACAGAGCUGUGAACCAGAGCAGGAACAUUACGAUUUGGUGCUUCUCAGAUUGGGAUUAAGAUCUCCACUUAAAAGGCUCGUCGAAAAAGGAAGAUCUCCAAAUGGCUGCCAAUAGACUAGAGAGAUGGUCCCUGUCUGAUGUGUACCAAGAGGGAGUUCCAAAGAGCAGGGACCACCACACUAAAGGCCUUCCACAGAAUAAACCUCCUGAUGGGAUGGUAUCUGCAGGAGGCCUUCUCCUGCAGAGCAAAGUGAUCAACUAGGCACAUAAGAGAUUCUGAUAAGCUGGUGAAGGAACUGCAAGGAUGUUGGUGGCAAUGUAUGGAUGGAAGGUGGAAGAAAGGAAAUAGAAUUCAAUUGAGAGUCAUGAUUCUUGAUACAAGAGCAAUGUGUCAACACAUUUACUAGGAUGGAACAGCCCACAUGUCAUGGAGAGUAACAUGACAAGCUAAGAGCUCCAACAAACACUUUCAAAGGAAGCAGCAGACAGGAAGCGCAGUUAGCAUUUGUGCUUCUUCUUAUUCACAGACAUCUGGAUCUUGUUCCCUUCAGGGGGAUGUAUAUUCUGUUCUCAGAUUGAGAGAAGAUAGAUUCGUCCAGAGGGGAACUGCACAUACCCCAUGUAUCCAAUACUGAGGACUGUUCCUACCAUUAGGCAAAAUGCGACCACUGAUUUUGGAUGUCAAGAAAGGGUAGCAAUUGCUGUUGUUG
Long non-coding RNA from Rhineura floridana, 812 nucleotides. RefSeq lists it as uncharacterized. The transcript has 3 exons. NCBI's taxonomy places the organism in Eukaryota, Metazoa, Chordata, Lepidosauria, Squamata, Rhineuridae. The record is from RefSeq and is a predicted model, not a curated record.